AGCAUUUUGACAACAUUUGGCCAAACUGGAAAGAUGGCAUGAAUAAUGCCUUAAAAGACGAUAUUUUGGAUAUUGAAAAAUAUUUUGAUGAAACAAUCGGUGCUGUUACAGACCAGCUUUACACUUGGUUGUCGAAAUCAGAAAUUGUUCAUGAUCAAGUCAAUGCAUGGGGACGUUGGAUUGAAAUCUGGAGUCAGUUUACGUUGGAAAGCUUUCUUGAAAGUAAUAUCGAUGUAAUCAAAGCUAAAGCCUGUUGAAGAUAAAGCAGACUUGGAUUUAGUUAAGCUUGGAAAUCUUUUGCCAUGGUCGAAUGAUGCUGUUCGUGGUUAUUCUGUAUUUUGCUAUACGGAGCAGCUUGAUCAGUCACUUGGAUCCUAUCUAAAUUUUGAACUGGGAAAAUGGUGUUCUAGUGAAAUGCAUUGCUUGAAAGGAGGGAUGCAUAGUUUGCCGAGAGCGUUUUUCAACGAUGAAGGAUUGAGUACGGAUGACAUAGAAUGCAAGAAACAGGUCUUCGAAAUAAAUUACUGGUAUCAAGAUGAGUAUCCUUUGAAAGAUAUAGUUGACGUGUUGUAUUAUUCAAUUAGCGAUGCGCCAAGUGUAUAUAAUGCGAAGGACUGGUUAUACUUGUCAAUCACCAGGACAAUUUUCAAAUGACUGUUUAACUCAAUGAUUUUCACUUUCAU
Xenia sp. Carnegie-2017 is the source of this 683-nucleotide long non-coding RNA. RefSeq lists it as uncharacterized. The transcript has 3 exons. The record is from RefSeq and is a predicted model, not a curated record. Lineage: Eukaryota; Metazoa; Cnidaria; Anthozoa; Malacalcyonacea; Xeniidae.